UGGGGGAUAUUGCGCAAUGGGGGCAACCCUGACGCAGCAACGCCGCGUGAAGGAUGAAGGUUUUCGGAUUGUAAACUUCUUUUAUUAAGGACGAAAAAUGACGGUACUUAAUGAAUAAGCUCCGGCUAACUACGUGCCAGCAGCCGCGGUAAUACGUAGGGAGCAAGCGUUGUCCGGAUUUACUGGGUGUAAAGGGUGCGUAGGCGGCUUUGCAAGUCAGAUGUGAAAUCUAUGGGCUCAACCCAUAAACUGCAUUUGAAACUGUAGAGCUUGAGUGAAGUAGAGGCAGGCGGAAUUCCCCGUGUAGCGGUGAAAUGCGUAGAGAUGGGGAGGAACACCAGUGGCGAGGGCGGCCUGCUGGGCUUUAACUGACGCUGAGGCACGAAAGCGUGGGUAGCAAACAG
RNAcentral lists this ribosomal RNA (404 nucleotides) under uncultured bacterium. RNAcentral's name for it is "bacterial SSU rRNA". It matches the Rfam family "Bacterial small subunit ribosomal RNA", at positions 355 to 775 of the family's 1533-position model. The record is from RNAcentral.